UAAAUUCUAUGUAUUAAAUAUUUUUUUCUUAGAUAUAUAUUACUUUUUUUUUUCACUUUUAUCUCUCUCACUUCUCUACAGAGAGAAAAAAAAAUCUCUUUUUUUUUUUUUUUUAGAACUUUUCCUUACCGAGGCAGUAGACGCCUCCUCCCCUAGCCUUAGAUGUGAGUUCCCUUCUCUGACUUCAGGGUUGAUUGUAUAUACGAGAUUUGUUUUGUGUUUUUAUUGCUGCAAGCAGUUCCUUGUGGAGAAGGGUUUCGUUUUAGGUCCUGCAUGUUUUCGUCCUCAGCUUCUUGAAGUUAUAGGGAUUUGUUUUUGUGAUGGGUUUAGGCUCUUUGCAUGUAGGGUAUAGCUUUUUCUAUAUUGUAGUUGUUGUUUGGUGGAGAUGAGGUAUUCUCCGGGAAAUUAACGGAAAUAAUUCUUGAUCUCCCGGUUCCUCAAAGCCUACAAGAGAGUGAGACGGCCGGAGCUUUGCCUCCUCCCUUGCUUUUCGGACGACCAUGGUCCUUGAAUGCAGCUUGAUGGCAUAAUGGAGCUCAUCUGUACUGGAUCUACGAUUCAAGCUCUCACCUAGAGCUAGGUCGAUCAGCCUCUGUGCCUCUUUUUCAAUGGCCUACUGUGUGGAAUAGUUUUUUGCUUAACCCAUUUUUCUAGCCUUUUGGUUGAUGGUAUCCCUCUAGCUUUGGAGUCCAUCGGUGCUUCACUGUGUUUGAGCUCGUCGGUUCAUUGGCACAUCUUAGGCUUCUUCCCUGUGUGUGGUUUGGGGUCGUGGAAUUGGGUUGGCUGUUUCAAGUUAAUCUGCAUAUUAGGAUUUGGUGUAUAGUGGGUCUUCUCUUCUGUGUUGGGCUGGUUAGGUUUUGGGCUUGGGCUUCUUCCUUUGUGAGCCAUGUUGUUUUGGGCGUAUUCUUGCACUGUACUUUUAGCCUUUUUUUCAUGAAUAAAUUUUAUCUUCUGAUUAAAACA
This 963-nucleotide long non-coding RNA is filed under the name Manihot esculenta (cassava). RNAcentral describes it as "long non-coding RNA (MESC_LNC009359)". Lineage: Eukaryota; Viridiplantae; Streptophyta; Magnoliopsida; Malpighiales; Euphorbiaceae. The record is from RNAcentral.